UUCAUCCAGAGCAGUGGAGGGAAUGGCCCGAUGAAACUGCGGCAACCCUUGCGUAUGCAAAACGGUGCCAAUUCCUUUAGGCAAAGACCUAUAAGAUGAA
This 100-nucleotide non-coding RNA is filed under the name bovine gut metagenome. RNAcentral's name for it is "SAM riboswitch (S box leader)". It matches the Rfam family "SAM riboswitch aptamer (S box leader)". Rfam says of the family: The SAM riboswitch is found upstream of a number of genes which code for proteins involved in methionine or cysteine biosynthesis in Gram-positive bacteria. The SAM riboswitch acts at the level of transcription termination control. The record is from RNAcentral.